UGUCUCGUGGGGUAAUGGUUUACCCGCCUUAACUGAAGCAUAUCUAUCUGCCUUGGAAUACACAGGAGAUGCUGGUUCGAUUCCAGCCGGGACCA
Molecule: non-coding RNA, 95 nt
Organism: Hypoxylon sp. FL1284
Lineage: Eukaryota; Fungi; Ascomycota; Sordariomycetes; Xylariales; Hypoxylaceae
Source: the annotation of a GenBank genome assembly